CGGGAUGUAGCGCAGCUUGGUAGCGUAUCUGCUUUGGGAGCAGAGGGCCGCUGGUUCAAAUCCAGUCAUCCCGACCA
Molecule: transfer RNA, 77 nt
Filed under: Eubacteriales Family XIII. Incertae Sedis bacterium
Lineage: Bacteria; Bacillati; Bacillota; Clostridia; Peptostreptococcales; Anaerovoracaceae
Description: tRNA-Pro
Rfam family: tRNA
About the family: Transfer RNA (tRNA) molecules are approximately 80 nucleotides in length. Their secondary structure includes four short double-helical elements and three loops (D, anti-codon, and T loops).
Source: RNAcentral